Molecule: transfer-messenger RNA, 240 nt
Filed under: Rhodocyclaceae bacterium
Lineage: Bacteria; Pseudomonadati; Pseudomonadota; Betaproteobacteria; Rhodocyclales; Rhodocyclaceae
Description: partial transfer-messenger RNA
Rfam family: transfer-messenger RNA
About the family: Bacterial tmRNA, also known as 10Sa RNA or SsrA, is named for its dual tRNA and mRNA-like properties.
Source: RNAcentral
CCGAGGGGCCGGGCAAGGGUGCUGUGACCGCAAGGGCAUGGGGUCCAGGCUGUAAGGUUAUUCACAGCGGCUGGCUUCCGACCAGGUACGUGGGGCAGGAGCGAGAUCCAGGGGGGCUGGCGUCCCGGGUAGCGUGUGGCUGCGCGACCCGGGUGGCGAGACUCAAAUCAGACCACUAAGCAUGUAGAUCUGCGCGAAGAAGGCUUGCGGACGGGGGUUCAAAUCCCCCCAGCUCCACCA